GACGGAGGAUGCAAGCGUUAUCCGGAGUUACUGGGCGUAAAGGGCGCGGAGGCGGUCUGCGGCGUCGGCGCUGAAAGCGCCCCGCUUAACGGGGCGAGGCGUGCCGAUACGCGCAGACUUGAGGCGAGCAGAGGGUGGUGGAAUUCCGGGUGGAGCGGUGAAAUGCGUAGAGAUCCGGAGGAACGCCAGUGGGGAAGCCGGCCACCUGGGCUCGUCCUGACGCUGCGGCGCGACCGCGUGGGGAGCAAACCGG
RNAcentral lists this ribosomal RNA (253 nucleotides) under uncultured bacterium. RNAcentral describes it as "partial 16S ribosomal RNA". It matches the Rfam family "Bacterial small subunit ribosomal RNA", at positions 524 to 776 of the family's 1533-position model. The record is from RNAcentral.